GCCUGGCUGGCUCUGUCGGAAAAGCAUGCGACUCUAGAUCUCAAGGUCGUGAGUUCAACCCCCACAUUGGGCA
Non-coding RNA from Ailuropoda melanoleuca (giant panda), 73 nucleotides. The record is from Rfam. Lineage: Eukaryota; Metazoa; Chordata; Mammalia; Carnivora; Ursidae.